GUGCAGAUAUUUUAUGAGUACAGUUGCUCGAAGAUGGGUUACAUCGUACGUUUUUGGCAAGACAUUCUAUAUAUAUUCUUGCAUAUUAUUCACUUUACAGAAAAAAGCUAAUUAAAGCAAAUAAUUUUUCUUUGAGAUUUGUCCCAGUAGUGUGUACCCAACAAAAAUAAAAACUCCAUGUCCGAAAAUAUAUAGAUGGGAUGGGAUCGAUCAGAGAGAUGGUGCUUCUUGAGGAAUAUAUAAUGAUAGAUGGAUUAUUUGGGUGU
This 266-nucleotide long non-coding RNA is filed under the name Sorghum bicolor (sorghum). RNAcentral describes it as "long non-coding RNA (SBIC_LNC016855)". Lineage: Eukaryota; Viridiplantae; Streptophyta; Magnoliopsida; Poales; Poaceae. The record is from RNAcentral.